GCGGGUAUAGUUUAGUGGU
Molecule: transfer RNA, 19 nt
Filed under: Heteromeles arbutifolia (toyon)
Lineage: Eukaryota; Viridiplantae; Streptophyta; Magnoliopsida; Rosales; Rosaceae
Also listed under: 1 other name
Description: partial tRNA-Gly
Source: RNAcentral